GAUGAACGCUGGCGGCGUGCCUAAUACAUGCAAGUCGAACGAACGGAGUUAGAGUUUACUCUGAGGAAGUUAGUGGCGAACGGGUGAGUAAUACAUAAGCAACCUUCCCUUAUGACUGGGAUAACUAUUGGAAACGAUAGCUAAUACCGGAUAGGUAAUUGAGUGGCAUCACUUAAUUAUUAAAGGUUAGAAACACAAAAGGAUGGGCUUAUGGCGCAUUAGCUAGUUGGUGAGGUAGAGGCUCACCAAGGCGAUGAUGCGUAGCCGACCUGAGAGGGUGACCGGCCACACUGGGACUGAGACACGGCCCAGACUCCUACGGGAGGCAGCAGUAGGGAAUCUUCGGCAAUGGACGAAAGUCUGACCGAGCAACGCCGCGUGAGUGAAGAAGGUUUUCGGAUCGUAAAACUCUGUUGGUAGAGAAGAACGUUGGUGAGAGUGGAAAGCUCAUCAAGUGACGGUAACUACCCAGAAAGGGACGGCUAACUACGUGCCAGCAGCCGCGGUAAUACGUAGGUCCCGAGCGUUGUCCGGAUUUAUUGGGCGUAAAGCGAGCGCAGGUGGUUUAUUAAGUCUGGUGUAAAAGGCAGUGGCUCAACCAUUGUAUGCAUUGGAAACUGGUAGACUUGAGUGCAGGAGAGGAGAGUGGAAUUCCAUGU
RNAcentral lists this ribosomal RNA (659 nucleotides) under uncultured Mollicutes bacterium. RNAcentral describes it as "bacterial SSU rRNA". It matches the Rfam family "Bacterial small subunit ribosomal RNA", at positions 28 to 674 of the family's 1533-position model. Lineage: Bacteria; Bacillati; Mycoplasmatota; Mollicutes. The record is from RNAcentral.